GAUGAACGCUGGCGGCGUGCUUAACACAUGCAAGUCGAACGAAGCACUUUAUUUGAUUUCCUUCGGGACUGAUUAUUUUGUGACUGAGUGGCGGACGGGUGAGUAACGCGUGGGUAACCUGCCUUGUACAGGGGGAUAACAGUUGGAAACGGCUGCUAAUACCGCAUAAGCGCACAGCAUCGCACGAUGCAGUGCGAAAAACUCCGGUGGUAUAAGAUGGACCCGCGUUGGAUUAGCUAGUUGGUGAGGUAACGGCCCACCAAGGCGACGAUCCAUAGCCGACCUGAGAGGGUGACCGGCCACAUUGGGACUGAGACACGGCCCAAACUCCUACGGGAGGCAGCAGUGGGGAAUAUUGCACAAUGGGCGAAAGCCUGAUGCAGCGACGCCGCGUGAGCGAAGAAGUAUUUCGGUAUGUAAAGCUCUAUCAGCAGGGAAGAUAAUGACGGUACCUGACUAAGAAGCACCGGCUAAAUACGUG
RNAcentral lists this ribosomal RNA (481 nucleotides) under uncultured bacterium. Its description in RNAcentral is "partial 16S ribosomal RNA". It matches the Rfam family "Bacterial small subunit ribosomal RNA", at positions 28 to 507 of the family's 1533-position model. The record is from RNAcentral.